Molecule: ribosomal RNA, 1290 nt
Filed under: Scopulariopsis brumptii
Lineage: Eukaryota; Fungi; Ascomycota; Sordariomycetes; Microascales; Microascaceae
Description: LSU rRNA
Rfam family: Eukaryotic large subunit ribosomal RNA
Source: RNAcentral
UAACGGCGAGUGAAGCGGCAACAGCUCAAAUUUGAAAUCUGGUCCCCUUGCGGGGCCCGAGUUGUAAUUUGAAGAGGAUGCUUCUGGCAAGGUGCCUUCCGAGUUCCCUGGAACGGGACGCCGCAGAGGGUGAGAGCCCCGUACGGUAGGACGCCGAGCCUCUGUGAAGCUCCUUCGACGAGUCGAGUAGUUUGGGAAUGCUGCUCAAAAUGGGAGGUAAACCCCUUCUAAAGCUAAAUACCGGCCAGAGACCGAUAGCGCACAAGUAGAGUGAUCGAAAGAUGAAAAGCACUUUGAAAAGAGAGUUAAAAAGCACGUGAAAUUGUUGAAAGGGAAGCGCUUGCGACCAGACUCGCGCCCGUCGGAUCAGCCGUCGCUUGUCGGCGGCGCACUCCGGCGGGCUCGGGCCAGCAUCAGUUCGCCUCGGGGGGAGAAAGGCGGCAGGAAUGUGGCUCCUCGGAGUGUUAUAGCCUGCCGUGUAAUACCCCCGGGCGGACUGAGGACCGCGCGUAUGCAAGGAUGCUGGCGUAAUGGUCGUCAGCGACCCGUCUUGAAACACGGACCAAGGAGUCGUCCUAAUAUGCGAGUGUACGGGUGUCAAACCCCUGCGCGUAAUGAAAGUGAACGGAGGUGAGAGCUUCGGCGCAUCAUCGACCGAUCCUGAUGUUCUCGGAUGGAUUUGAGUAAGAGCAUAUUGGGCCGGACCCGAAAGAAGGUGAACUAUGCCUGUGUAGGGUAAAGCCAGAGGAAACUCUGGUGGAGGCUCGCAGCGGUUCUGACGUGCAAAUCGAUCGUCAAACAUGGGCGACUAAUCGAACCUUCUAGUAGCUGGUUUCUGCCGAAGUUUCCCUCAGGAUAGCAGUGUUGAAUCUCUCAGUUUUAUGAGGUAAAGCGAAUGAUUAGGGACUCGGGGGCGCUAUUUAGCCUUCAUCCAUUCUCAAACUUUAAAUAUGUAAGAAGCCCUUGUUACUUAGUUGAACGUGGGCCUUCGAAUGUAUCAACACUAGUGGGCCAUUUUUGGUAAGCAGAACUGGCGAUGCGGGAUGAACCGAUCGCGGGGAUAAGGUGCCGGAGUGGACGCUCAUCAGACACCACAAAAGGUGUUAUCACAUCUAGACAGCAGGACGGUGGCCAUGGAAGUCGGAAUCCGCUAAGGACUGUGUAACAACUCACCUGCCGAAUGUGAUAGCCCUGAAAAUGGAUGGCGCUCAAGCGUCCCACCCAUACCCCGCCCUCAGGGUAGACACGAUGCCCUGAGGAGUAGGCAGACGUGGGGGUCAGUGACGAAGC